Molecule: ribosomal RNA, 495 nt
Filed under: uncultured bacterium
Lineage: Bacteria
Description: partial 16S ribosomal RNA
Rfam family: Bacterial small subunit ribosomal RNA
Source: RNAcentral
GAUGAACGCUGGCGGCGUGCCUAAUACAUGCAAGUAGAACGCUGAAGGAGGAGAUUGCCCUUCUGGAUGAGUUGCGAACGGGUGAGUAACGCGUAGGUAACCUGCCUGGUAGCGGGGGAUAACUAUUGGAAACGAUAGCUAAUACCGCAUGACAACAGUUAUAGCGUGAUAACUGUUUAAAAGGGGCAACUGUUCAACUACCAGAUGGACCUGCGUUGUAUUAGCUAGUUGGUGAAGUAACGGCUCAACAACGGGACGAAACAUAGCCGGCCGGAGAGGGGGGUGCGGCCACCGGGGACAGGAACCAGGCCCAAAACCCGAAGGGAAGCAGCCGGAGGGGAACUUCGGCAAUGGGCGGAAGUCUGAACGGACAACGGCGGGUGGAUGAAGGAAGUUUUCGGGUCGUAAAGAUCUGUUUUAUGGGAAGAACGAGAGUGGGAGUGGAAAGUUCACACUGUGACGGUAUCUAACCAGAAAGGGACGGCUAACUACGUG